ACAAAUAAAUAAAUAGUCAUAUGCGUAAACAAUUAAACAAAAACAUAAUAAUCUAUAAAGGUUGAAAUUAAAUGAAUGAAGGGUUAAAUCGAAAUUUAAAAUGAAAUUUAGGGCCUAGAUUAUAAUAAAAAUGACAAAUAAGAACUAAAUCGAGAUUAAAUAAGAUUAAAGGGGAUAAAUCGUAAAAAAUAAAAAAAAGGAGAGGGCUAAAACUGAACUCGCGAACGAAGAACGAGGAUCGAACGCGAAAUUAUUCCCCAAAUCCGUAAACGCACCGUUCCAAAAGGGAUUAAAAUAACAAGGAACUAAAAUCACAUGGCUAAAUUUUAAAUAAAUAAAAGAUAAUGGGACCGGAUUGAAGAAUCAGUAAAAACAAAAGGACCGGAUGUGUAAAUAUCCCCUUUGUGGGGAAAACACGCGAAUCUGGCCUGAAAACGGGUCAGGUCUUCGGGUGUGAUGCAAAACGACGCCGUUUUGGCACCUGAAACCAGGGCCCAAAACGACAUCGUAUGGCCCUCUUAUAAAAGUCAAAUUUCCAACAAAAAAUUCAUUCUUUCAACCCCCUAAAAAAAAAUUCAUUCUCUUUCUCUCCUUCUGGGCUAAACCCAGAAACUGGCCAAGAAGGCCACCGACGGUCGGUCGUCGCGCCACCGUGGCUCUACCGCCGUCGACCGCCAUGUACGAUGGCCGGAGCUCGAAAAGAAGCCUCUUUUUCAGCCAAUCGGAGAGUAGGUAAAAAAAUUCCGCUUUUUAUAUAUUUUGAUAUAUAUAGGUAUAUAAAAUAAUUUUGGGAAAAAUAAGAAGAAAAUAAAAACGAAAUAAAGAAAUACCCUUUUUGAACUUGAUUUCUUUGUUCGAUAACGAAAUAAAGAAAUACCCUUUUUGAACUUGAUUUCUUUGUUCGAUUUCCCUCUGUUUUUGUAUUUGAAUGCUUUUUUUUAUUUUGCUUGAAUCUCUGCUUUUUUAUUUAAAAAUCUCGUUUUCUUUAUUCAUUCUCUCUCUGAAAAAAUUACAUUUUUCUUCUGGCUAUUUAUAGCCGAAUACAAAAGUUUUUUGUCUAUUGUUUGCUACUGUCAUUGCUUCUGUUUGCCUCUGUUUCUUUGCCGUUUUGGUUUUCCUCUACAGGUUCGGCGUUCGAUCAACGAAGGCAGGUGGCCAUUUUGGUGUUAGCGUGCCAGGGGAGCCGACCCUCGAGCGAAGGACGUGCUGACGAGGCACGUGGGUGACAGUAGGGAGGCGCGGCGCUGAAGGGGAUUCAAAAACCCUAGGGUUUCUGAAUUGUUUUAGGCUAUUGGGCCUAUUGGGACAGUAGGAAUUAGGUUAGGGGUUCGGCCUUGAUAUGGGUUUGGUGAAAUUUGGGCUUUUGAUGUUGUAAAUGGACUUUAAUAAUUUUGGACUUUAUUUUGGUUGUUUUGUUUUUUUGGUUUCUAAUGGGCCGGGCAAAAUAGGCCUCUUACAAGAACUAAAUUGAUAAAAUUUGUAAAUGUGGAUGAUUCAAUUUGUUGAAUUAUUUAAAAUGAAGGUUGAUUUGAUAAAAUUUAUAAGUGUAUUAUAUGAAGUAAACUAUUUUCACUAACAAUUUAAUGAGAUGACCAAAACAAAAAUAAAUAAUAAUGUUAGUGAUAAAAUUGAAUUUUUUUUUAUAGUUGAAUGAUUAAAAUAAUAACACUCAGCUAAUUAUAUAAUUUACUUUUAGAAAGAUCAAACAAAAUAGGUGGGGGCAACCAUUUUACUCUUAAAACUACAUGACUUUCAAUGAUUUGUUGGGUUUGAAAAUUAUAGGACCUAACAAACAACAUUAACUUAAUAAAUUCUGCC
Molecule: long non-coding RNA, 1818 nt
Filed under: Gossypium barbadense (sea-island cotton)
Lineage: Eukaryota; Viridiplantae; Streptophyta; Magnoliopsida; Malvales; Malvaceae
Description: long non-coding RNA (GBAR_LNC012949)
Source: RNAcentral